UCUAUCGUUCGUGUAUUUAUUCGUCAGACGAACGCCAAGUGCCAGUGCAUGCCAGACCCCGUGCUAGGUGGAGGAACAGCAGUGAAUGAGGCAGACACAGUGCUUCAGUAGAUAAACCAGAUUAAGAAGAUGAUGAAUGUGCUGUAAACGCAAUUGGGAAAUAAAUCAAAUGAGACAGACAGUAAGUGGUGGGCGUAGCGGCUAGCAAAGUUCUCUCGGAGGAAGUGGCAUUUUGCCUGAGACUUGACAGGUGACUACAAGAUAUUGAAUGUAGUUCCCUCUGCUAUAUAGAAGCAACUUGUUGUAUUUUAAUUAGGACCCCAGGGAAAGAAGCAGAAGAAGAGGAACAUGGUUCCUCAGUCUGUGAUCUUGAAUGAAGAGCAUGAGUGGCAUUAUGAUGGGACUUUUACAUACCAGCAGUUUGGAGUCGACCAGAACGAGGAGGCACAAGGAGCUUUGGCACUAAAUUUGGGUGACCUUGGGUAAGCUGAACCAUCGCUAAGGCUCAGCUUUAUAAUGAAUAAAGUAGGAAUAUCACCACUUAUUCUAGAACAAAUGUUCCCAAACAUCAAAUAGGUGUUAAAAUGCAGAUGCCAGCCACCCCCAUCUUAGAGUUCGAAUAAGUAGUUGGGCCAGAGAUAUUUACUGUUCAUGGAAGAGGCAAGGGCUGUAUGCCAAGGCCAAAAGCUGGUGGCUGAUGUGACAUGUGUCACUAUUUUGCCAAAGCAUUUCAGAGCUGGUGCAUGACCAUCCCAGCUCCCUUUUCCCUUCAACCCUGCAAGCCACGUGCUCCAGUUUUAAACCUACAAGAUGGAAGCAUCUUGGGUCCCUGCAUCAUUGCUUGGGGGUGAGGGGGGAGUGCCACAGAUUGCCACGAGACCCAUGGGAGACUCUGAAUAAAACAUAAACUUUUA
Non-coding RNA from Vicugna pacos (alpaca), 914 nucleotides. NCBI's taxonomy places the organism in Eukaryota, Metazoa, Chordata, Mammalia, Artiodactyla, Camelidae. The record is from RefSeq and is a predicted model, not a curated record.